AGAGUUCAAAUUAGAACAGAAUUAUUUCCAUGUAUUUCCUGAUUUGAAGAUAUAGUUUGUAAGCCAAAGUUUCCAGAUUAAUAAGGAGCAGCUUUAAAAAAAUAUAAAUGCCAAUCUUUUACAUCAAUAGAGGUAAUAUUCUUGGAAGAGGAAAUUGGUCGGUCGAUAUGUGUCGGCAUCUUCUCGGCGUUUAUAACGAAAACAAAGACAGAAUGAUAAAUCUACUGCAUCAAAACUUCUGAAUGAGUUGUCUAGCUGAGAAGUAUUGACUUGAAAAAAAGAUCAGCGAUGUAGGGGGAAAAAAGGACAGAAAUAACUCUCUCAAAAGUCAUUUUCUAUCGCUUCAGUACCAUUUCCUUUUUCAGAUAGUAAAUUUUCGACUUGAAUGUCCUGACGGUAGUUUCUUUCGACUCGAACAAAUGGAAUUCUGCAAAAUCCGUCCGAUUGGAACGGACUCUUUUUCUCCUCCUUUGACCUUUUUCUUCUGUUUUCUUAUCCAGCAACAUCUAAUAGUGUGCAGAUGUGAAAUGACACCUUCUGCUUCCGCCUCAGCAGUCAGUUUUACUUCUACUGUAAGUUGCACACCAUCCUUCAUUCUCGCUUGGAUAUCACAGGUAGUAAAUUUUCCGCUUGGGUGUUUCGAUGGUAGUUUCUUUCGAUUCGAAAGAACGGAAUCCUGCAAACUAUUUCCUCCUUGUUUGACAUUUUUUUCGUUUUCGUCCAACAUUUAAUGACGCGCAGAUGUGAAAUGUCAUCCUUUGCUACUACAGAAGUUAGCUCUUCUGGAACUUGCACGUCAUCCUUCACUUACGCAUGGAUGCCAAAGAUAAAUAGAAAUAAAUAACUUCUGUCAGAAAACAGUUAUGCAAAAUGAGGUGAAUUUCUGUUAGCAUUUCAUUUUGGCGCCAUCAAUUUGACAGUGUCUCUCUUAGCAACAAAAGAGUUUUUUGCUCAAGAAAGGAAAUUUUUUAUAAUG
Molecule: long non-coding RNA, 976 nt
Organism: Argiope bruennichi
Lineage: Eukaryota; Metazoa; Arthropoda; Arachnida; Araneae; Araneidae
Exons: 3
Source: RefSeq, a predicted model, not a curated record